AUAUGCCCGUGCGUUGCAACGGAAGAAAAACAUCAAAUGAUCUUAAAAAGUGAUGACAUGAUAUUACAUAUCUAUUUAUAUUUAUCUUUUUUAUAAAAUUUAAAGUUCAUAAUUUAUUUUAUUGAUAACCAUAACAUCUAUGGUAUUAGAUAGUUAAUAUUUACAAUAAUAUAUAGCUUGAAGACAUAUUUAUUUAAUAAUAAUAAUAGAAAUUAGUUAAACCUUAUCUCACUCUAAUAUUACCUUUUAAUAUACCUCAAUAUUAUAUUAAAACAUGAGAAGUUUGAUGCUAGCAUUAUUUUUUUAUUUAGAUUAGGAUUGCUAUGAAAUAUGAAUGAAGCAUCACAU
This 348-nucleotide long non-coding RNA is filed under the name Sorghum bicolor (sorghum). RNAcentral's name for it is "long non-coding RNA (SBIC_LNC005644)". The record is from RNAcentral. Lineage: Eukaryota; Viridiplantae; Streptophyta; Magnoliopsida; Poales; Poaceae.